RNAcentral lists this unclassified non-coding RNA (249 nucleotides) under uncultured fungus. RNAcentral's name for it is "partial contains 5.8S ribosomal RNA, internal transcribed spacer 2, and large subunit ribosomal RNA". The record is from RNAcentral. Lineage: Eukaryota; Fungi.
AACGCACAUUGCGCCCAUUAGUAUUCUAGUGGGCAUGCCUGUUCGAGCGUCAUUUCAACCCUUAAGCCCCUGUUGCUUAGCGUUGGGAGCCUACCCCGGUAGCUCCUCAAAGUUAGUGGCGGAGUCGGUACACACUCUAGACGUAGUAAUUCUCAACCUCGCCUACGAGAUGUGCCGGUCCCCUGCCGUUAAACACACCAAUUUCCAAAGGUUGACCUCGGAUCAGGUAGGAAUACCCGCUGAACUUAA